GAUGAACGCUGGCGGCGUGCCUAAUACAUGCAAGUCGAGCGAACAGAUGAGGAGCUUGCUCCUCUGACGUUAGCGGCGGACGGGUGAGUAACACGUGGAUAACCUACCUAUAAGACUGGGAUAACUUCGGGAAACCGGAGCUAAUACCGGAUAAUAUAUUGCACCGCAUGGUUCAAUAGUGAAAGACGGUUUUGCUGUCACUUAUAGAUGGAUCCGCGCCUCAUUAGCUGGUUGGUAAGGUAACGGCCUACCAAGGGUACGAUGGGUAGCCGGCCUGAGAGGGUGACCGGCCAAAUUGGGACUGCGAUACGGCCCAGAGUCCUACGGGAGGCAGCGGUGGGGAAUAUUGCACAAUGGGCGGAAGCCUGAUGCAGCAACGCCGCGUGCGGGAUGACGGCCUUCGGGUUGUAAACCGCUUUCGCCUGUGACGAAGCGUGAGUGACGGUAAUGGGUAAAGAAGCACCGGCUAACUACGUG
RNAcentral lists this ribosomal RNA (477 nucleotides) under uncultured bacterium. RNAcentral's name for it is "partial 16S ribosomal RNA". It matches the Rfam family "Bacterial small subunit ribosomal RNA", at positions 28 to 507 of the family's 1533-position model. The record is from RNAcentral.